Molecule: ribosomal RNA, 845 nt
Filed under: Bacillus subtilis
Lineage: Bacteria; Bacillati; Bacillota; Bacilli; Caryophanales; Bacillaceae
Description: bacterial SSU rRNA
Rfam family: Bacterial small subunit ribosomal RNA
Source: RNAcentral
ACGCGACGCUGGCGGCGUGCCUAUACAUGCAGUCGAGCGGACAGAUGGGAGCUUGCUCCCUGAUGUUAGCGGCGGACGGGUGAGUAACACGUGGGUAACCUGCCUGUAAGACUGGGAUAACUCCGGGAAACCGGGGCUAAUACCGGAUGGUUGUUUGGACCGAUGGGACAACAUAAAUUCGGCUUCGCCACCCCAUUUGAAGGCCCCCAUCCGAAAUGAAAGUUGGUGGGGGAAUGGGUUUACACGCCAAUUGCGUACGACCUGAUAGGGUGAUCGGCCACACUGGGACUGAACCGGCCAGACUCCUAGGGAGGCACUAACGAAUCUUCCCAAUGGACGAAAGUCUGACGACAAGCCCGGAGUGAGGAGGUUUUCGGAUCGUAAAGCUCUGUUGUUAGGGAAAACAGUACCGUUCGAAUAGGGGCGGUACCUUGACGGUACCUAACCAAAAGGCCCGGGUUACUACGUGCCACCGGCCGCGGUAAUACGUAGGUGGAAGCGUUGUCCGGAAUUAUUGGGCGUAAAGGGCUCGCAGGGGUUUCUUAAGUCUGAUGUGAAAGCCCCCGGCUCAACCGGGGAGGUUAUUGGAAACUGGGGAACUUGAGUGCAAAAGAGGAGAGUGGAUUCCACGUGUACCGUGAAAUGCGAAAACAUGUGAAGAACACCUUGGCAAGGCGAUUUUUUGGCCUGUAAUUGAACUGAAGACCAAACCGGGGUAACGAUGGUGUUAAUGGUAGGGGUUUCCCCCCCUUAGGUGGGGUAACCAUUACCCUCCGCUGGGGAGUCCGGCCCAAAUGAACCCCAAGGAUUGGCGGGGGCCCCCCAAAAGGGGGAAAAGGGUUAAU